GCAUAUCAAUAAGCGGAGGAAAAGAAACUAACAAGGAUUCCCCUAGUAACGGCGAGUGAAGUGGGAAAAGCUCAACUUUGAAAUCUGGUACCUUUGGUAUCCGAGUUGUAGUCUCAAGAAACGUUUUCUGUGCUGGCCCAUGUAUGAGUCUGUUGGAACACAGCGUCAUAGAGGGUGACAACCCCGUUCAUGACAUGGACCCCAGUGCUUUGUGAUACGUUCUCGAAGAGUCGAGUUGUUUGGGAAUGCAGCUCAAAUUGGGUGGUAAAUUCCAUCUAAAGCUAAAUAUUGGUGAGAGACCGAUAGCAAACAAGUACCGUGAGGGAAAGAUGAAAAGCACUUUGGAAAGAGAGUUAACAGUACGUGAAAUUGUUGAAAGGGAAACGAUUGAAGUCAGACGUGCGUGAUGCAGUUCAGCCUAGGUUCGCCUGGGUGUACUCUGUAUCUUUGCAGGCCAACAUCGGUUUUGCGAGACGGAUAAAGGUUAGAGAAAUGUGGCAGGUCCGCCUGUGUUAUAGUCUCUGACUGAAUACGUUUUGUGGGACCGAGGAACGCAGCGCGCCGCAAGGCAAAGGUUCCGACCUUUUCGCGCUUAGGAUGUUGGUGAAAUGGCUUUAAACGACCCGUCUUGAAACACGGACC
This 642-nucleotide ribosomal RNA is filed under the name Rhodotorula sp. TP-Snow-Y142. RNAcentral's name for it is "eukaryotic LSU rRNA". It matches the Rfam family "Eukaryotic large subunit ribosomal RNA", at positions 38 to 667 of the family's 3401-position model. The record is from RNAcentral. Lineage: Eukaryota; Fungi; Basidiomycota; Microbotryomycetes; Sporidiobolales; Sporidiobolaceae.